GAGCGGCGAACGGGUGAGUAACACGUGAGUAACCUGCCCUAGGCUUUGGGAUAACCCUCGGAAACGGGGGCUAAUACCGGAUAUGACUUCCUGCCGCAUGGUGGGGGGUGGAAAGUUUUUUCGGCUUGGGAUGGACUCGCGGCCUAUCAGCUUGUUGGUGGGGUAAUGGCCUACCAAGGCGACGACGGGUAGCCGGCCUGAGAGGGCGACCGGCCACACUGGGACUGAGACACGGCCCAGACUCCUACGGGAGGCAGCAGUGGGGAAUAUUGCACAAUGGGCGGAAGCCUGAUGCAGCGACGCCGCGUGAGGGAUGACGGCCUUCGGGUUGUAAACCUCUUUCAGCAGGGACGAAGCGUGAGUGACGGUACCUGCAGAAGAAGCACCGGCCAACUACGUGCCAGCAGCCGCGGUAAGACGUAGGGUGCGAGCGUUGUCCGGAUUUAUUGGGCGUAAAGAGCUCGUAGGCGGCUUGUCGCGUCGACUGUGAAAUCCCGCGGCUCAACUGCGGGCUUGCAGCCGAUACGGGCAGGCUAGAGUUCGGUAGGGGAGACUGGAAUUCCU
This 564-nucleotide ribosomal RNA is filed under the name Micromonospora sp. 384A05. Its description in RNAcentral is "bacterial SSU rRNA". It matches the Rfam family "Bacterial small subunit ribosomal RNA", at positions 93 to 671 of the family's 1533-position model. RNAcentral also lists the same sequence under 1 other name. Lineage: Bacteria; Bacillati; Actinomycetota; Actinomycetes; Micromonosporales; Micromonosporaceae. The record is from RNAcentral.